Manihot esculenta (cassava) is the source of this 579-nucleotide long non-coding RNA. RefSeq lists it as uncharacterized. The transcript has 2 exons. The record is from RefSeq and is a predicted model, not a curated record. NCBI's taxonomy places the organism in Eukaryota, Viridiplantae, Streptophyta, Magnoliopsida, Malpighiales, Euphorbiaceae.
UCAUAUUUGGAUAUGGAGCUGACCUGGUGGCCAGUAGUUGAGAAGGAGCUAUGUCAGGAUCGGCGGCGUUAAAAUUAGAAAGCCGCCGCUUGGGCUGCCGCGCAAGUGGUUGUUGUGCCUUUGUGUCAACUCCCUAUAAAUAUAAAUAUUUGUUAGGUACGGUCACAAAAUCUUAGAUGUGAUACUAUAAUGGAUUGGUGGACCCACGUAUCUCUCUUUGUCUGUUGAUCUUCUCCCUUUGCGUGCUUUCAGAUCGGAUCUUUUAAACAAAAAUCAAAUGAAUCAGAAACAUCCACUUUGCCAGGUAAUUAAAGGAGAAAGAAACGGAAGGAGGAAGGAGAGCACAAUCUGCUUGGGAUUUGCUUUGAAACAGGCCUCGUUCGAAGAAAGGCUCGAUUCGCCUUGUGGUCGGAAUCCAAAUGGAAUCAGAUGGGAAAUCAAGCAUAGAUUUUCUUUCGCUUCGUCCUUUCAUUUCAGCGAGUGAAUCCGGGACUGGUAGAUCGCAGGGCUUUCGUCUUUCAAAGAAUAAAACCUAAAUUAUGCUCUAAUUAUACUUAGUUUGAGAAAUUUCUUGUUGGA